RNAcentral lists this ribosomal RNA (1140 nucleotides) under Escherichia coli. RNAcentral's name for it is "partial 23S ribosomal RNA". It matches the Rfam family "Bacterial large subunit ribosomal RNA", at positions 609 to 1751 of the family's 2925-position model. The record is from RNAcentral. Lineage: Bacteria; Pseudomonadati; Pseudomonadota; Gammaproteobacteria; Enterobacterales; Enterobacteriaceae.
UGUAUAAUGGGUCAGCGACUUAUAUUCUGUAGCAAGGUUAACCGAAUAGGGGAGCCGAAGGGAAACCGAGUCUUAACUGGGCGUUAAGUUGCAGGGUAUAGACCCGAAACCCGGUGAUCUAGCCAUGGGCAGGUUGAAGGUUGGGUAACACUAACUGGAGGACCGAACCGACUAAUGUUGAAAAAUUAGCGGAUGACUUGUGGCUGGGGGUGAAAGGCCAAUCAAACCGGGAGAUAGCUGGUUCUCCCCGAAAGCUAUUUAGGUAGCGCCUCGUGAAUUCAUCUCCGGGGGUAGAGCACUGUUUCGGCAAGGGGGUCAUCCCGACUUACCAACCCGAUGCAAACUGCGAAUACCGGAGAAUGUUAUCACGGGAGACACACGGCGGGUGCUAACGUCCGUCGUGAAGAGGGAAACAACCCAGACCGCCAGCUAAGGUCCCAAAGUCAUGGUUAAGUGGGAAACGAUGUGGGAAGGCCCAGACAGCCAGGAUGUUGGCUUAGAAGCAGCCAUCAUUUAAAGAAAGCGUAAUAGCUCACUGGUCGAGUCGGCCUGCGCGGAAGAUGUAACGGGGCUAAACCAUGCACCGAAGCUGCGGCAGCGACGCUGAUGCGUUGUUGGGUAGGGGAGCGUUCUGUAAGCCUGUGAAGGUGUGCUGUGAGGCAUGCUGGAGGUAUCAGAAGUGCGAAUGCUGACAUAAGUAACGAUAAAGCGGGUGAAAAGCCCGCUCGCCGGAAGACCAAGGGUUCCUGUCCAACGUUAAUCGGGGCAGGGUGAGUCGACCCCUAAGGCGAGGCCGAAAGGCGUAGUCGAUGGGAAACAGGUUAAUAUUCCUGUACUUGGUGUUACUGCGAAGGGGGGACGGAGAAGGCUAUGUUGGCCGGGCGACGGUUGUCCCGGUUUAAGCGUGUAGGCUGGUUUUCCAGGCAAAUCCGGAAAAUCAAGGCUGAGGCGUGAUGACGAGGCACUACGGUGCUGAAGCAACAAAUGCCCUGCUUCCAGGAAAAGCCUCUAAGCAUCAGGUAACAUCAAAUCGUACCCCAAACCGACACAGGUGGUCAGGUAGAGAAUACCAAGGCGCUUGAGAGAACUCGGGUGAAGGAACUAGGCAAAAUGGUGCCGUAACUUCGGGAGAAGGCACGC